RNAcentral lists this ribosomal RNA (301 nucleotides) under uncultured bacterium. Its description in RNAcentral is "partial 16S ribosomal RNA". It matches the Rfam family "Bacterial small subunit ribosomal RNA", at positions 509 to 809 of the family's 1533-position model. The record is from RNAcentral.
CAGUAGCCGCGGUAAUACGAAGGGUGCAAGCGUUAAUCGGAAUUACUGGGCGUAAAGCGUGCGUAGGCGGUUUGUUAAGUCUGCUGUGAAAUCCCCGGGCUCAACCUGGGAAUGGCAGUGGAUACUGGCAAGCUAGAGUGUGUCAGAGGAUGGUGGAAUUCCCGGUGUAGCGGUGAAAUGCGUAGAGAUCGGGAGGAACAUCAGUGGCGAAGGCGGCCAUCUGGGACAACACUGACGCUGAGGCACGAAAGCGUGGGGAGCAAACAGGAUUAGAUACCCCGGUAGUCCCUGUCUCUUAUAA